UGGAGGUGGGGGGGCAGGUGGGGCUAAGCCCGACGGGGAUCUGAAUAAAGAGAAGAUGGCGGUCAGUCUACCUAAUGAAACCUCUCUCUCUCAAGGCAGCCCUAACUUCCUCAUCGCCAACUGCAGAGCCCUGGCUUUAGCUUUCAGUAUCGCCUGCUGCUCUGAAGCACUUAGUGCUUCACCAUCCCAGCCCCACCUUUACAGCUCUCUCUUCUCUAGCCGCCAUACACCAAUACUUGAUUCUCCUCCUGCUUCUUAUCUCCUCCUUCUCUGAAUGCCCUUGGCUCUUUUUCCUUCUUCUCACCCCCUAAGUUCUUUCUUGAACCCAUUAAAAAUGGUCAUUAUAAAAAGCCCCAAUAUUAUACAAAAUACUUUCACCCCUAUCAUUUUCUUCAUAAUUCUCUUCUUGAUUCCCACAGCUACGAAUACCACCCGAUGCCGGUAAUUCCCAAGUGUGUAUCCCCACCCCUGACUUCCCCCCAUCUCCCAGUCUGUACUGCCAACCGCCUAUUGGACCUCUCCUCCUGAAUGUUCUUUAAACUCAGUAUGUCUAAAAUGGUACUUCUUUCAACCCAGUCUUCCAAGCCCACAGUAUCUUCUUGCAAUGGUAUCAUCCCAGGCACUCAGGCGGCUGCACGACUCCAUGAAUUGGCAAGGACCAGUGAUGUCGGAAGAAGAGAAGUGAUAGAUGUUAGAAUCAUGUCGAUACAUGCUUCAGAAAUGGUUCAAAUAAGUGUUUGCACAGGACCAGACUUGGUAGGUCAUUAAUUCUUGGAAUGAAUAGCAAAUCCAAUAAUCCGAAGGUGGGAGCAGUUUGAGCAAACAUGAUCCUAAGCCCUCUGGGCCUGUCCUGAGUUCUACGGUAACUGAAUUAGGUUUGGAGUCUCCCCGGGGCCUCAUUAUUCGCCCUGUGACUGAGGAUAUUGGAGACUUACAGAAAGGUAGAGGCUGGCCUUCAGGAGUACAAUAGAUAGUUGAUAGUUCUCAUUCCUCUCAUUCCUUCUCUAACUCAUCAAAUUAAGGGCUUCUUAUGGUGAGGCACUGCCAGAUGCCAUGUGGGCUAUAAUGAUGUAAAUGCUUACAAAAUAGUGGUUAUUUUGCUAAGAGAAUCUAUAUGUUGACUGAACUGUUUCCCUAAGGAAAUCACUCCAAUUUCAAUCAAAAUAAAACCUAGAAUUAGGCAAGGAUAAGCCAUACUUGUUGAAUUUCCCCAAAUCUUAGCUAAGACAAAGACUUUCUCCAUGUUUUGGGGGACACAGAUAAUAAACUCAGAAAGUACUUGGGAUCCAGAUGAUUUGGCUUAUCACACUUAAUUUGAUUAUCUUCAGCUUGCACCUCCCCUUUGCUUCAGCUCUCCCUCCACAAUCCAGACUCCUCCUCUGUCCCCUACCAGAAAGGGAUACUCUAAUAGACACAAAGAUACCUCCAAGAACCGCACCCCCCCCAAGGAAGACCAAAAAGAACCCCCUUCCCCAGCCGUGGCAGAUAUUAGCAGAGCUAAUGCAUCAUCCAGUUUGUCUUUCCUUCCAAGCUUACAGGAGGAUCACACCUCCUUUCCCCUAGACUGUUAGGCAAGUCCAUGUAACUAGUUCUAAGCAAUUGGUUGUGAGCAGAAAUGGUGUGCCCUGUUGCUUCCGAGGUGAAGCAUCAUCAGGUGGUUUGAAGUCUUCUAGAUUGCUCUUCUCUUGCCAUGGAAAACAUGGAAAUAUAUUAAGACAGUUACACCCAACACAGAAGUAGCCUGGAGCGCUGAGCCACCACAUGGAAACCCAUGGUGAAUGUUGCAUGAGCAAGGAAUAAAAUUACAUUCUGAUAAGCCAUGGAGAUUUUUGGUGGUGUUUAUUUAUUGCAGCAUAAAUGAGAUUAUUUUGACUGGGUAGCAGCCAUCCCCCAGGCUAGCUCUUUUCAUUUUGGUUAAUUGUCUGAGGACCUCACGGCUUCCUGAGAAUUCACACUAAGGAUGGCUUCUCUCUUCAGCUUUAUCUCCAGAUCCAUGUGCUGUGUCCCUGGGAGGGUGGAGGUAUGACAGCUUAUCUCUAUAUUCUCCCAAACCCCAGCAUUCGUACAUAAGCCAUGACUGUCCUUACCAGCCCUACCUCAUUCCUUAACUUUAAGUACUUUCCUACUUUGUUUUUGUGUUCACAGUCAUAGUGACAAUAUUAAGUGGAUAGGUUUAAAUUUGUUCUGUAACUUGAAACCCAUGCUCGAGGGGCGCCUGGGUGGCUCAGUCGGUUAAGUGUCCGACUUCGGCUCAGGUCAUGAUCACGAUCGCACAGCUCGUGAGUUCGAGUACGCUGGGCUCUGUGCUGACAGCUCAGAAUCUGGAGCCUGUUUCAGAUUCUGUGUCUCCGUCUCUCUCUGCCCCUCCUCCGCUCGCACUCUGUCUCUCUCUCUCACAAAAUACAAGUAAACAUUUAAAAACUAAAACCAUCCUCGCUUGCACUCUAGUGACAAGGAAUGUUGCUUCAAGUUACUUAACGCUUGGAGUUCAGCCACCAGUUGCUUCAAACUUUAAGUAGCUGCAAGUUAUAAAAACCGUUUGCUCAAGUACAAAGUCAGCACCCAGACAAAACCAUCUUCAGAGAUGAAACCAACCAACCAAAGACAAAAGGAUACGGCCUAAAAUCAAAAAGUGCUGGAGCACAUGCUUAUGCUGACUUCUAAGGAAUUCAGUGAUUUAUCGGAUGAAUCUUCACUCAUCCAAGGGCAUCGGAAUCCAGAGGCAACCUGACGGAAGGGCCAGGUGGGCAAGAAAGAGCACUGGUUAGGAGUCAGGAGUACAUUGGAGACCCUGUAUUGCAUCUAGCCACGCACAACCUUGGGUCCGUCGGAAGGAUUUGCAAGGGGACCCCGAGGAAGCUGCCUCUUGAAUUCAGAGACCCAGAUGAUGACUGGAGCGGUCCACUGCAGCUCCCUGACCAUCAGCCUUCCUCUGCCACGCUCACUGCUGUCUGUCCGCGGCCUGCCUCCAGCCUGGCAGCACAGCCGUGAGCUUUCCGAUGGUACAACGAAGCAUUGAUACGGUUUUCCGGACGAUCGGGAAAGGGUAAGUUAUUGUAUUGCCCCCAAACCCAGUGAGCCACACGACCACCUGUGAAGCCUCAUGCAGAUUAUUGGAGACCACGUCAAGGCUCUUGAGUUUCAGUCUUCUGUGGAGGGGCCUGGAAAUCUGCAUUUUAAAUAAAUGCUCUCAAAGAAGCUGAUGAUUGAGACUGGGAAACAAGGACUUAAGACCUUUAACAUUUCUAGAGAAAUUUGUGGACAAAUCAAAUACUCGAAGUUACAUCCCCGAGGGAUUUUAAUGUGUCUAUUAGUUCUACCACCUUUUUUUCUACAACCUAAGUAAGGUAACUUUGAGAGGUGCGUAGAACACAGUGAUUUUUUUUUUUAACUGAAAUAAGAGAAAUGAAACAGAUUAGAUUUAAAAAGAGGUUAAACUGGGGCACCUGGGUGGCUCAGUCGGUUAAGUGUCCGACUUCAGCUCAGGCCAUGAUCUCACGGUUCGUGAGUUCAAGCCCUGUGUCGAGCUCUGUGCUGACAGCUCAGAGCCUGGACCCUACUUUGGAUUCUGUGUCUCCCUCUCUCUCUGCCCCUCCCCCCGCUUGCACGCUCUCUCUCUCUCUCUCUCAAAAAUAAUAAAUAAAUAAAUAAAUAAAUAGGGGCGCCUGGGUGGCUCAGUCGGUUGAGCGUCCGACUUCAGCUCAGGUCACGAUCUCGCGGUCCGUGAGUUCGAGCCCCGCGUCAGGCUCUGGGCUGAUGGCUCAGAGCCUGGAGCCUGCUUCUGAUUCUGUGUCUCCCUCUCUCUCUGCCCCUCCCCUGUUCAUGCUCUGUCUCUCUCUGUCUCAAAAAUAAAUAAACUUAAAAUAAAUAAAUAAAUACAAAUAAGUUAAACUAAAGCUGCCUUAUGACCUCAUACAUCAGAUUUCACUGGAGCAAUUUCUACUUUCUUAUAUUCAUCCCUCUCUGUCUCCCUUGCCCCCUUUCUCUUUCUAUUUUCCCCCAUAAGUGGAUUUGGGGUCAUCUCAAAUGAGACUUUUAUUAAACUUACCCUGUAACAAGUAUUUUAAGAGGAUAUGAGUGGAGUCUUUACCCAAUAUUUAUUUAUAAGGGUCAGCUGCCCUGACCCUUAUAUUCGUGUGUGUGUAUGUGUGUGUUGGGGUGAGGGGAACAGACAGUUAACAAAUGCCCGUAAAAAUAAACAAGAAAACAUCCAGGUAGACUUAGUGUUGAGACGAAAGUGGAGAAGGUGCUGUGAUGGAGAGUGCCAGGCUUCCCUCGAUCAGGUCAGAGAAGCUCUUGAGGAGGUAGCAUCUGAGUGGAGCCCCAAAUGACGUAGGGGACCAACUGUGUGACCUCGAGGGAGGGUGUUCAAGACAGACGGAAGCUACUGCAAGGACCCUAAGGCAGGACCAUGUUAGGGAUGUGGGAGGAACAGAAAGAACAUCUGUGAGUCUGCAUCUAAAGACCUUUUUUGUUCACUGUGCAAAAUUUUUUAUUAGAAACCCAAUGUACCUGGAACACUGUAGGGGGGGCUACCUUACUGUCCCCUCCCGUGACCUGUGGAUUGUUGAGUUUGUCCUUGCGAGUGACAUGGUGAGCUCUUCCUCUUCCAUCUAUACGUUCCCCUGACAGGUUCUUCUUCGUGACAUCUCCUAAAGGCCACUCCAUUAUCUUCUCUCCAUCCUUUCCCCUUGUUGCAAUGGUACCAAAACCGGUACCACUGAAUAGCAUGCCACCUCCUCCAGGAAGCCUUUCUCAAUCCUUCUAGGGAGAAUGAGCCAGAACCAAGGGUCUUUAGCUUCAUGCUCCCACAGCCCUUUCUUGCAUUUCUCCAGCAGCUCCUGCUUCGUCCUGCCCUGGGUUGUAUGCCAUCCCUUAUUUACACAUCUCUCAUCCCAGUACAUGAAGAAGCCUCAAGAAUGAGGUCUAGGCUUUAUUCAGCUGAGCCCUGCCCCCACUGGGUUGGUGGGCAUCUGCGCGUGAGAGGGCUCGCUGUUGGUGGAGCCCCUCAUUCCAUUAACCCAGGGGCGUGGAGCACCUGAGCUUUGCUCUACCUGUGCUAGAUUCUUGGGGGGACGAGAAGGAUAAGGCCCAGCCCUUGCUUUUCAGAAGCUUAGAAAUCUAUAUUGGUGGGGGAGGGGCAGGCAAGACUGGCACCCUGGAAGUACCAUCAGGGGCAGUGGUCUCCAAACUGGGGGGGAGCACACACCCCAGGAGCACUUGACGAGCACUAGGAUGCAGGAAGUAAGCAUAAGCAGCUCUAGUUUGUUGUACUGCUUACUAUCGAUUUAGAAAUAAAUGAAAAAUUUAGAAAUAAACAUUGUUUUACUGAUUUUCGCUAUCUGGCUUGCCCUUGACACCUCUCCAGGCCCCUUGUCAGACAGCCACAGUCACAUGACCCCCCCAGGGAGAGGUUGCAGAGGUUGCCUGGGCCUCAGUGCCCUCACUUGUCCUUGCUAGUGACGACUCACCUCACACUCCAGUUUAGGUGUUACAGGAUGUCAUCAACAUGGCUACUUCUAUAAAGACAAGACCUUGAGGGGCACCUGGGUGGCUCAGUCGGUUGUGUGUCUGACUUUGGCUCAGGUCAUGAUCUUGCAGUUUGUGAGUUCGAGCCCGGUGUCAGGCUCUGUGCUGGCAGCUCAGGGCCUGGAGCCUGUUUGGAUUCUGUGUCUCCCUCUCUCUCUGCCCCUCCCUGCUCGCGCUUGU
Molecule: long non-coding RNA, 5709 nt
Organism: Acinonyx jubatus (cheetah)
Lineage: Eukaryota; Metazoa; Chordata; Mammalia; Carnivora; Felidae
Exons: 3
Source: RefSeq, a predicted model, not a curated record